AUAGGUAUGUUGGAAUUGGUAGACAGAUCCGAUUUAGGUUCGGAUGGAAUAAAUGCCGUGCAAGUUCAAGUCUUGCUACCUAUA
Non-coding RNA from Ilyonectria destructans, 84 nucleotides. The record is from the annotation of a GenBank genome assembly. NCBI's taxonomy places the organism in Eukaryota, Fungi, Ascomycota, Sordariomycetes, Hypocreales, Nectriaceae.